Molecule: transfer RNA, 77 nt
Filed under: Escherichia coli DEC7B
Lineage: Bacteria; Pseudomonadati; Pseudomonadota; Gammaproteobacteria; Enterobacterales; Enterobacteriaceae
Description: tRNA-Ala
Rfam family: tRNA
About the family: Transfer RNA (tRNA) molecules are approximately 80 nucleotides in length. Their secondary structure includes four short double-helical elements and three loops (D, anti-codon, and T loops).
Source: RNAcentral
GGGGCUAUAGCUCAGACUGGGAGAGCGCCUGCUUUGCACGCAGGAGGUCUGCGGUUCGAUCCCGCAUAGCUCCACCA